ACGGGAGGCAGCAGUGAGGAAUAUUGGUCAAUGGGCGCGAGCCUGAACCAGCCAAGUAGCGUGAGGGAUGACUGCCCUAUGGGUUGUAAACCUCUUUUGUUUGGGAAUAAAGUGAGGUACGUGUACCUUUUUGUAUGUACCAUUCGAAUAAGCAUCGGCUAAUUCCGUGCCAGCAGCCGCGGUAAUACGGAAGAUGCGAGCGUUAUCCGGAUUUAUUGGGUUUAAAGGGAGCGUAGGCGGGCUGUUAAGUCAGCGGUCAAAUAUCAGGGCCCAACCUUGGCAUGCCGUUGAUACAGGCGGCCUUGAAUGCACGCAAGGUAAGUGGAAUUCGUCGUGUAGCGGUGAAAUGCUUAGAUAUGACGAAGAACUCCGAUUGCGAAGGCAGCUUACUGGAGUGCGAUUGACGCUGAGGCUCGAAAGUGCGGGAAUCAAACAGGAUUAGAUACCCUGGUA
RNAcentral lists this ribosomal RNA (453 nucleotides) under uncultured Paraprevotella sp. RNAcentral's name for it is "partial 16S ribosomal RNA". It matches the Rfam family "Bacterial small subunit ribosomal RNA", at positions 341 to 792 of the family's 1533-position model. Lineage: Bacteria; Pseudomonadati; Bacteroidota; Bacteroidia; Bacteroidales; Prevotellaceae. The record is from RNAcentral.